RNAcentral lists this non-coding RNA (62 nucleotides) under Desulfurella acetivorans. Its description in RNAcentral is "Fluoride sequence". It matches the Rfam family "Fluoride riboswitch aptamer (crcB RNA motif)". The record is from RNAcentral. Lineage: Bacteria; Pseudomonadati; Campylobacterota; Desulfurellia; Desulfurellales; Desulfurellaceae.
UACAAAAGUGGCGAUGGAGUUCGCCAAAAAUGCCUACCUAGGCUGAUAACUCCUACAAAUUA